AGAUCCUGCCGCUCCCGCGCCGCUACCGCCUCCGCCCCGCUGCCCGCUAAAUUCGAGGCUGAGGCCUGAAACUCGCGGCUCGUCUCUUGAGGAAGUUAAAUUUCCUUCUGUCUAUCUGUUUAUAGAGGCGCUAUCAAAGCUUCAAAGCUCGCGGCUCGUACAUUUCAAAGUCAAAAUUUGACUAUUCAAAUAAUACUUACAAAUCAUCAAAUGUUUUAAGAAAAAAACACUGAUAAAAAACCUUAAAGUUUUGCUCUUAGCGAGCCUUUACAUGACUUAUAAACUUUCCGUUUUACAGAGGCGCUUUCAAAUUGAAAUUGAAUUUGUUAAUGAAAGUAGUGAAGAAAACACUUCUCCAAAAUAUUAUGCGAUAAAAUCUUUGAAUACGAUUAUUCUAAGACUGGGUUUUUUGAUUGCCCAAGGGUCAUAAGUGAUUGAAAGUGAGUCGUGUUCAUUAAGUCGUUGCUGCUGCAUUGUGAUGUGGACAAUGCGAUCUUGACAUUAUGGCACCAUUAUGCUCACUUUGAGCUCAUUCUGACCCAUUCUGCGAAUGGGCGAGCUAAGCAUUCUUGCAUUUGGUCGCUAAAGUGUUUCACAAUAGUCCUUCGUGGGCUGCUGCAUAUAAUGAAUAUGUUCAUAAGGCGUUUCGUGGGCCGUAUUUUCCCUGCACCUGACGUAGGUGAGGUUUCGUCUCGUACAUUGUUUUCUGUAUUUUCUAUAAUAUUCUUUUUUUAUAUUUCUUAAUAUUAUGGGUGUUGUUCAUUUUUAUAUAAAAAUGUUUGACACCUAUCUUUAAUCGGAUAAUAAUGUUAAAGAUUGGUGUGUAGUGAUAUAAUUAUAAAAAAAUAUUUCAAGUAACAAAGUCAAGGCCAAGUAAGGUGGCCCAUUAGCGCCGAGCCUUAUUGUCCGCGAAUGGGCGAGCUAAGCAUUCUUGCAUUUGGUCGCUAAAGUGUCACUUAUUUAAGUAAUGAAAUGACGUCAUCAAACUAUGCAUAGUGUUUAUGAAGUCGCGGGUGCUGCACUGUGAUGAAGACUGUGCGAUCUUGACAAUAAGGCGCCAUUAUGCUCGCUCUGAGCUCAUUCUGACCCAUUCCGCGAAUGGGCGAGCUAAGCAUUCUUGCAUUUGGUCGCUAAAGUGUCACUCAUUUUAUUUAUGAAAUGACGUCAUCAAACUAUGCAUAGUGUUUAUUAAGUCGCGGGUGCUGCACUGUGAUGCAGACUGUGCGAUCUUGACAAUAAGGCGCCAUUAUGCUCGCUUUGAGCUCAUUCUGACCCAUUCCGCGAAUGGGCGAGCUAAGCAUUCUUGCAUUUGGUUGCCAAAGUGUCACUCAUUAAUUUGAUGAAAGUAUGAAGUCAUCAAACUAUUUUUAUUAUAAAAAACACUGCUAAAACACCUUAAAGUUUUGCUCUUAAGGAGCCUUUACAUGUCUAACAAUCUAUUUCUUUAAUCGAAUAAUAAUGUUAAACACCUGGGUAUAGUGAUAUAAAUUAUAAAAAGUAUUUCAAGUAACAAAGUCAAGGCCAAGUAAGGCGGCCCAUUAGCGCCGAGCCUUAUUGUCCGCGAAUGGGCGAGCUAAGCAUUCUUGCAUUUGGUCGCUAAAGUGUCUCUCAUUUUAUUUAUGAAAUGACGUCAUCAAACUAUGCAUAGUGUUUAUUAAGUCGCGGGUGUCGCAUUGUAAUGCAGACUGUGCGAUCUUGACAAUGAGGCACCAUUAUGCUCGCUUUGAGCUCAUUCUGACCCAUUCCGCGAAUGGGCGAGCUAAGCAUUCUUGCAUUUGGUCGCUAAAGUGUCACUUAUUUAAGUAAUGAAAUGACGUCAUCAAACUAUGCAUAGUGUUUAUUAAGUCGCGGUUGUCGCUUUGUAAUGCAGACUGUGCGAUCUUGACAAUGAGGCGCCAUUAUGCUCGCUUUGAGCUCAUUCUGACCCAUUCCGCGAAUGGGCGAGCUAAGCAUUCUUGCAUUUGGUUGCCAAAGUGUCACUCAUUUUAAUUGAUGAAAUUAUGAAGUCAUCAAACUAUUUUUAUUGCAAAAAGCACUGAUAAAACACCUUAAAAUUUUGCUCUUAAGGAGCCUUUACAUGUCUUACAAUCUUUUUACUAUGUAUGUUGUCUGUUUCGCAUUUAUCACACAGAAAAUUGGUCGUUGUUGCGCGGCCGAAGCCGCGAGGAAGUGAUGGCUCAAGUUGGAAUUAUUCGCUGAUGAAUUAUUAUCUGUUAUAAUAUUUGGUCCCAUUGUUGGACUUGACACUAAGGCGCCAUUAUGCUCGCUUUGAGCUCGUUCUGACCCAUUCCGCGAAUGGGCGAGCUAAGCAUUCUUGCAUUUGGUCGCUAAAGUGUCACUCAUUUUAUUGACGAAAUAACGUCAUCAAACUAUGCAUAGUGUUUAUUAAGUCGCGGGUAUCGCAUUAUAAUGCAGACUGUGCAAUCUUGACAAUGAGGCGCCAUUAUGCUCGCUUUGAGCUCAUUCUGACCCAUUCCGCGAAUGGGCGAGCUAAGCAUUCUCGCAUUUGGUUGCCAAAGUGUCACUCAUUUAAUUGAUGAAAUAAUGAAGUCAUCAAACUAUUUUUAUUAUAAAAAAACACUGAUAAAACACCUUAAAGUUUUGCUCUUAAGGAGCCUUUACAUGUCUAACAAUCUUUUUCUUUAAUCGGAUAAUUAUAUUGAACACCUGGGUGUAAUGGUAUAAAUUAUAAAAAAAAUAUCAAGUAACAAAGUCAAGGCCAAGUAAGGUGGCCCAUUAGCGCCGAGCCUUUUUGUCUGCGAAUGGGCGAGCUAAGCAUUCUUGCAUUUGGUCGCUAAAGUGUCACUCAUUUUAUUGAUGAAAUGACGUCAUUAAACUAUGCAUAGUGUUUAUUAAGUCGCGGGUAUCGCAUUAUAAUGCAAACUGUGCGAUCUUGACAAUGAGGCACCAUUAUGCUCGCUUUGAGCUCAUUCUGACCCAUUCCGCGAAUGGGCGAGCUAAGCAUUCUCGCAUUUGGUUGCCAAAGUGUCACUCAUUUAAUUGAUGAAAUUAUGAAGUCAUCAAACUAUUUUUAUUAUAAAAAAACACUGAUAAAACACCUUAAAGUUUUGCUCUUAAGGAGCCUUUACAUGUCUAACAAUCUUUUUCUUUAAUCGGAUAAUUAUAUUAAAGACCUGGGUGUAAUGGUAUAAAUUAUAAAAAAAUAUUUCAAGUAACAAAGUCAAGGCCAAGUAAGGUGGCCCAUUAGCGCCGAGCCUUAUUGUCCGCGAAUGGGCGAGCUAAGCAUUCUUGCAUUUGGUCGCUAAAGUGUCACUCAUUUUAUUGAUGAAAUGACGUCAUUAAACUAUGCAUAGUGUUUAUUAAGUCGCGGGUAUCGCAUUAUAAUGCAAACUGUGCGAUCUUGACAAUGAGGCACCAUUAUGCUCGCUUUGAGCUCAUUCUGACCCAUUCCGCGAAUGGGCGAGCUAAGCAUUCUCGCAUUUGGUCGCUAAAGUGUCACUUAUUUAAUUGAUGAAAUGACGUCAUCAAACUAUGCAUAGUGUUUAUUAAGUCGCGGGUAUCGCAUUAUAAUGCAGACUGUUCAAUCUUGACAAUGAGGCGCCAUUAUGCUCGCUUUGAGCUCAUUCUGACCCAUUCCGCGAAUGGGCGAGCUAAGCAUUCUUGCAUUUGGUUGCCGAGGUGUCACCCAUUUAAUUGAUGAAAUUAUGAAGUCAUCAAACUUUUUUUAUUAUAAAAAACACUGAUAAAAUACCUUAAAGUUUUGCUCUUAAGGAGCCUUUACAUGUCUUACAAUCUUUUUGCUAUGUUACUUAUGUAUUCUGUCUCACAUUUAUCGUGUGAGCUAAGAAUAAAUGCAACUUAGGAUCAAGUUGCAAUAUUUUGUGCUGUAUUAUUAUCUUACAUUCUUGUUACUAUUAUUGAUGCUUUUCGGUCUUGCUUGUGGACAUUUCGAUAUAAUGUCCAAUUUCCAAGAUUUCGAUAACUACUACAUUCGCCAUUAUGCUCGCUUUGAGCUCGUUCUGACCCAUUCCGCGAAUGGGCGAGCUAAGCAUUCUUGCAUUUGGUUGCCGAGGUGUCACUCAUUUAAUUGAUGAAAUUUUGAAGUCAUCAAACUUUUUUUAUUAUAAAAAAACAUUGAUAAAACACCUUAAAGUUUUGCUCUUAAGGAGCCUUUACAUGUCUAACAAUCUAUUUCUUUAAUCGGACAAUUAUGUUAAAGACCUGGGUGUAAUGGUAUAAAUUAUAAAAAAAUAUUUCAAGUAACAAAGUCAAGGCCAAGUAAGGUGGCCCAUUAGCGCCGAGCCUUAUUGUCCGCGAAUGGGCGAGCUAAGCAUUCUUGCAUUUGGUCGCUAAAGUGUCACUCAUUUUAUUGAUGAAAUGACGUCAUCAAACUAUGCAUAGUGUUUAUUAAGUCGCGGGUAUCGCAUUAUAAUGCAAACUGUGUGAUCUUGACAAUGAGGCACCAUUAUGCUCGCUUUGAGCUCAUUCUGACCCAUUCCGCGAAUGGGCGAGCUAAGCAUUCUCGCAUUUGGUCGCUAAAGUGUCACUUAUUUAAUUGAUGAAAUGACGCCAUCAAACUAUGCAUAGUGUUUAUUAAGUCGCGGGUAUCGCAUUAUAAUGCAGACUGUUCAAUCUUGACAAUGAGGCGCCAUUAUGCUCGCUUUGAGCUCAUUCUGACCCAUUCCGCGAAUGGGCGAGCUAAGCAUUCUUGCAUUUGGUUGCCAAAGUGUCACUCAUUUAACUGAUGAAAUUAUGAAGUCAUCAAACUAUUUUUAUUAUAAAAACACUGAUAAAACACCUUAAAGUUUUGCUCUUAAGGAGCCUUUACAUGUCUUACAAUCUUUUUGCUAUGUUACUUAUGUAUUCUGUCUCACAUUUAUCGUGUGAGCUAAGAAUAAAUGCAACUUAGGAUCAAGUUGCAAUAUUUUGUGCUGUAUUAUUAUCUUACAUUCUUGUUACUAUUAUUGAUGCUUUUCGGUCUUGCUUGUGGACAUUUCGAUAUAAUGUCCAAUUUCCAAGAUUUCGAUAACUACUACAUUCGCCAUUAUGCUCGCUUUGAGCUCGUUCUGACCCAUUCCGCGAAUGGGCGAGCUAAGCAUUCUUGCAUUUGGUCGCUAAAGUGUCACUUAUUUAAGUAAUGAAAUGACGUCAUCAAACUAUGUUUAUUAAGUCGCGGGUGCUGCACUGUGAUGCAGACUGUGCGAUCUUGACAAUGAGGCGCCAUUAUGCUCGCUUUGAGCUCAUUCUGACCCAUUCCGCGAAUGGGCGAGCUAAGCAUUCUUGCAUUUGGUUGCCCAGGUGUCACUCAUUUAAUUGAUGAAAUUAUGAAGUCAUCAAACUUUUUUUAUUAUAAAAAAACACUGAUAAAACACCUUAAAGUUUUGCUCUUAAGGAGCCUUUACAUGUCUAACAAUCUAUUUCUUUAAUCGGAUAAUUAUAUUAAACACCUGGGUGUAGUGAUAAAAAUUAUAAAAAGUAUUUCAACUUUCAAGUAACAAAGUCAAGGCCAAGUAAGGCGGCCCAUUAGCGCCGAGCCUUAUUGUCCGCGAAUGGGUGAGCUAAGCAUUCUUGCAUUUGGUCGCUAAAGUGUCACUCAUUUUAUUUAUGAAAUGACGUCAUCAAACUAUGCAUAGUGUUUAUUAAGUCGCGGGUGCUGCACUGUGAUGCAGACUGUGCGAUCUUGACAAUGAGGCGCCAUUAUGCUCGCUUUGAGCUCAUUCUGACCCAUUCCGCGAAUGGGCGAGCUAAGCAUUCUUGCAUUUGGUUGCCAAAGUGUCACUCAUUUAAUUGAUGAAAUUAUGAAGUCAUCAAACUAUUUUUAUUAUAAAAAAACACUGAUAAAACACCUUAAAGUUUUGCUCUUAAGGAGCCUUUACAUGUCUAACAAUCUAUUUCUUUAAUCGGAUAAUUAUAUUAAACACCUGGGUGUAGUGAUAAAAAUUAUAAAAAGUAUUUCAACUUUCAAGUAACAAAGUCAAGGCCAAGUAAGGCGGCCCAUUAGCGCCGAGCCUUAUUGUCCGCGAAUGGGUGAGCUAAGCAUUCUUGCAUUUGGUCGCUAAAGUGUCACUCAUUUUAUUUAUGAAAUGACGUCAUCAAACUAUGCAUAGUGUUUAUUAAGUCGCGGGUGCUGCACUGUGAUGCAGACUGUGCGAUCUUGACAAUGAGGCGCCAUUAUGCUCGCUUUGAGCUCAUUCUGACCCAUUCCGCGAAUGGGCGAGCUAAGCAUUCUUGCAUUUGGUUGCCAAAGUGUCACUCAUUUAAUUGAUGAAAUUAUGAAGUCAUCAAACUAUUUUUAUUAUAAAAAAACACUGAUAAAACACCUUAAAGUUUUGCUCUUAAGGAGCCUUUACAUGUCUAACAAUCUAUUUCUUUAAUCGGAUAAUUAUAUUAAACACCUGGGUGUAGUGAUAAAAAUUAUAAAAAGUAUUUCAACUUUCAAGUAACAAAGUCAAGGCCAAGUAAGGCGGCCCAUUAGCGCCGAGCCUUAUUGUCCGCGAAUGGGUGAGCUAAGCAUUCUUGCAUUUGGUCGCUAAAGUGUCACUCAUUUUAUUUAUGAAAUGACGUCAUCAAACUAUGCAUAGUGUUUAUUAAGUCGCGGGUGCUGCACUGUGAUGCAGACUGUGCGAUCUUGACAAUGAGGCGCCAUUAUGCUCGCUUUGAGCUCAUUCUGACCCAUUCCGCGAAUGGGCGAGCUAAGCAUUCUUGCAUUUGGUUGCCAAAGUGUCACUCAUUUAAUUGAUGAAAUUAUGAAGUCAUCAAACUAUUUUUAUUAUAAAAAAACACUGAUAAAACACCUUAAAGUUUUGCUCUUAAGGAGCCUUUACAUGUCUAUUAAUCUUUUUCUUUAAUCGGAUAAUAAUAUUAAAGAUCUGUGUGUAAUGGUAUAAAUUAUAAAAAAAUAUUUCAAGUAACAAAGUCAAGGCCAAGUAACUCAUUAGCGCCGAGCCUUAUUGUCCGCGAAUGGGUGAGCUAAGCAUUCUUGCAUUUGGUCGCUAAAGUGUUUCACAAUGGUCCUUCGUGGGCUGCUGAAUAUUCUGAAUAUGUUCAUAUCUAGAUUAGUUUCAUCCGUUCAUGGACCUAUCCUUUUUAUAGAGGCGUUAUCAUUCUAUGGCUGCGAUCGUCAUUCGUGGGCCGUAUUUUCCCUGCGCCUGACGUAGGUGAGGUUUCAUAUUCUCGUACAUAUUUUUCUGUAUUUUCUAAUAUUCUUUUUUUCUUUUCAAUAUUUCUUAAUAUUAUGGGUGUUGUUCAAUUUUAUAUAACAAAGGUUUGACACCUAUUGUUCUGCUAGACGUUAAAUGUUUGAGCUUUGUCGUGCUAAAAACAAUUGCACAACUGAAAUAAAUUAUUAAAAAAUGUUUCAAGUAACUAAGUCAAGGCCAAUUAAGGUGACCCAUUUGCGCCGAGUCUUACUGUUCUUACAUUAUUUUCUAGAAUUAAUAUUUCGAACGCAAAUGUUCAAAUAUAUUACUACGCCACGUCUUACACGGCAGGAUCAGGCACGUUUUAUCAAAUUUACCGUAUUUCACAAGCAAUUCUAAUAAAUAGUGUAAUGGACUUGAUAUUUAGUACAAAUAAUUAUGUAGUAAUGUGAAAAGAUAGAUACCCUGACCAUAAAUAGUAAUCCAAUAACCAAACCGGUCAGUAGGAGGAAGCCGAGUUACCUCUAGGUAUAUAAUACGCCAAAAGCAUCGAGGAAUACUUUUACACCAGAAUAUAUUAAAUUAACACAUUUAAUAGCUUUUACACCUAUAAAAAGAUAGUGAGCUCUAGAGUUCACAAUAACAUCGAUAAAGCAGCGCUUCUGCAGACCCAAGGUCAUUAAGUGCAUCGAUAUACCUCGAUUGAAACAACAAUCUGUAUUAGGUAUUAGUCUUUGAUUAUAUCGAUUUAGAUACGAACGUGUAAGAUUUCGAAAUAUUGUUGUAAUUUUCUGAACAUAGUUUUUGAGGGUUUUUGAGUUGCGGCAAGGUUGUUACUUUGUUUCUUCUUUUCAUGUAGGAAGGCAUAACUUUGUAAACAGUUUUUCUUAUGUCACUUAGCACGGGCAAAUAUAGAUUUGUCAAAUCUCGACUUUCUUUGCAAAGCGACUAUGUGUAUUUUAUGAGGAUAGCAAUAAAACGCUGGCAGAGUUUUUAAACGCCCGUGCAAAUUGUUUUUCAUGUUAAGUUUAUUUUCUUCUUGAUAGUAUGCAUUGUGUUGUUAUUAUAUUAAUGCUAUUGUAUCUUAGCAAUAAAAAGUUUGACAAUGUUAGAUGUGGGCUUGUGGAGAUAAAAUUUUGUUAUUUAGUAAUUUUAUGAUUGUAACCAUGCAUUAAAAAUUAUAUAAAAAUAUUCCGUUUAAUAAUAACAAAGGCUAAAAUGUCAAUUUGUUUAAUUGAAAAUUGAUAAGGGAUAUGGAUUAUUUAGAUGUGCGGUCAGUAUUUAUAAAUAUCCACUCUAAUUGAGCCACAGUACAGAAUUAACAGUGGUAGAAUCACUCCCCUCUUCGUGUUUUCAAAUAUUCUAUUUAAAUUACAUCUUAACUCAUUUCUACAGGAGAGGGAGUGAAUCUCCGUUGUUUUAAACCUGUUAAUACUUUAAUUAUUGCAAUUGUUUAAAAUUUAUU
Long non-coding RNA from Ostrinia furnacalis (Asian corn borer), 8565 nucleotides. RefSeq lists it as uncharacterized. NCBI's taxonomy places the organism in Eukaryota, Metazoa, Arthropoda, Insecta, Lepidoptera, Crambidae. The transcript has 2 exons. The record is from RefSeq and is a predicted model, not a curated record.